This 322-nucleotide ribosomal RNA is filed under the name Clostridioides difficile. RNAcentral describes it as "partial 23S ribosomal RNA". It matches the Rfam family "Bacterial large subunit ribosomal RNA", at positions 1 to 322 of the family's 2925-position model. The record is from RNAcentral. Lineage: Bacteria; Bacillati; Bacillota; Clostridia; Peptostreptococcales; Peptostreptococcaceae.
UGGUCAAGUUAUUAAGGGUGCAGGGCGGAUGCCUUGGCACUAGGAGCCGAUGAAGGACGUGAUAAGCUGCGAUAAGCUUCGGGGAGUUGCACGUAAACUUUGAUCCGAAGAUUUCCGAAUGAGGAAACUCACUUAGAGUAAUGUCUAAGUAUCAUUAAGUGAAUACAUAGCUUAAUGAGGGGAACUCAGGGAACUGAAACAUCUAAGUACCUGAAGGAAGAGAAAGAAAUUCGAUUCCGUAAGUAGCGGCGAGCGAACGCGGAUUAGCCCAAACCAAUAAAGUUUUCUUUAUUGGGGUUGCGGACAUAUCAUAACGAAGAGG